Equus quagga is the source of this 1227-nucleotide long non-coding RNA. RefSeq lists it as uncharacterized. The record is from RefSeq and is a predicted model, not a curated record. The transcript is spliced from 4 exons. Lineage: Eukaryota; Metazoa; Chordata; Mammalia; Perissodactyla; Equidae.
CAGUCUCCUGUACACGGCCUGUGAGGACCCUCACUCCAGGAUCAGCUCUCAUUUUCGUGGAUUGGGACCUGCCCUUUGGUGAUAUUGGGAAUGUUGGAGGAGCAAUGCCUGGAUCUCCCUCUAUGCUGCCCAUGAGGCUAUCUGCAUCUUUCACCUUUCCAGGUGGAGUGGGCAGGGAACUCAAGUCCGGGAAGGGUGAAUGUUGUGUCCGAGCAGGGUCUGAGCAUAGCCUGCGGGUCUCUUCUCCUGCUCCUAGACUGGCGUACUUGUCAGGAAAGUUCAGCUGUCCCCUGACUGCAAUGGGACGCUCUCGUUCCUUCAGAUAAGGAAAAUGAGACAUGAAGAGGUUAAGUUGUCCAAGGUCACGUGCAGGGUCUGGGAGUUCCUCCGCCUCUGUUAGAGAUUCUCUGAUAAAGUUGACAAUUAGAGCAGAAGAAAUUGCUGUACUGAAGAAACCAAAUUUGACAAAGUCAGCCUCCCAGCCGUGUCUGUUUUUGCCUGUGCACAGAGCAGACAGCUAGAGACCACAGUCAGCUCUCUAGAGCUAUUUAUUGAACGAAAAAAUAGACCAGAAAGAAUUACUCUUGAAGAGAAAUCUAUUUCAAAAAGUGAGUCGGCAGCUAGUAUAAGUUUUAAAAUAUUUUAUUUACUGAACAUUUUUUUUUCUCCUUUAUUAUUGGAGGAAAUGCCCAGCUUUUUCUAGCCAGUAUCACCAAGAUUUUUCUAUUUUUUUUUUUUUGGUAAGAAAAUGAUACAAUUCUGGCACAUUUUUCAGGAAAGUUUAUUUUAAAAUUCCCAGGAUUCUGUUUAAGUGGUUUGAGAAUUGGAGCAAAUGAUAACAAGAGCAGCUGAGAAAUGAGGUUUUGGCCUAGUUAUUGUCUAACCAGGUGGGUUGGGGUCCUUGAACUUUAAGAAGCUUUUGUGUUUCCAGCUGUACCAGGAGGAUUAGUGGCUUAGUCCUACCUCAUGGGAGCAAGUUUUAUUGUUACCUCUUAUAAGGCUGAAACCAUAGUGUUAGGGGUUUUUACACAGCACCAUCUGCUUCAGGAUCUCAACAUGCUUGCUUGGAGUUUUUUUACCCCCCGAGUUCCUCCCUCCAAAUAAGGUCAGUAUCUGGAAGAGUGAAUUCACUCUGGACAUAGCAACAGAUGUGCCUGGUGAUAUGUAAAAUGCAAUCGGUUAGUUAUCAAUCAAUUACGUGGCCAUUGAACAUCUAAUCCAGGCAAG